RNAcentral lists this ribosomal RNA (482 nucleotides) under uncultured bacterium. RNAcentral describes it as "partial 16S ribosomal RNA". It matches the Rfam family "Bacterial small subunit ribosomal RNA", at positions 30 to 507 of the family's 1533-position model. The record is from RNAcentral.
AUUGAACGCUGGCGGCAUGCCUUACACAUGCAAGUCGAACGGUAACGGGCCUUCGGGUGCCGACGAGUGGCGAACGGGUGAGUAAUACAUCGGAACGUGCCCGAUCGUGGGGGAUAACGAGGCGAAAGCUUUGCUAAUACCGCAUACGAUCUACGGAUGAAAGCAGGGGACCGCAAGGCCUUGCGCGGACGGAGCGGCCGAUGGGAGAUUAGGUAGUUGGUGGGAUAAAAGCUUACCAAGCCGACGAUCUGUAGCUGGUCUGAGAGGAUGAUCAGCCACACUGGGACUGAGACACGGCCCAGACUCCUACGGGAGGCAGCAGUGGGGAAUUUUGGACAAUGGGCGCAAGCCUGAUCCAGCCAUGCCGCGUGCAGGAUGAAGGUCUUCGGGUUGUAAACUGCUUUUGUACGGAACGAAAAGCCUUCUUUUAAUACAGGAGGGUCAUGACGGUACCGUAAGAAUAAGCACCGGCUAACUACGUG